RNAcentral lists this long non-coding RNA (864 nucleotides) under Trifolium pratense (red clover). RNAcentral's name for it is "long non-coding RNA (TPRA_LNC005104)". The record is from RNAcentral. Lineage: Eukaryota; Viridiplantae; Streptophyta; Magnoliopsida; Fabales; Fabaceae.
UUCAUAUCUUAAUCAAAUUUUCUUCAUACACGGUAAACUGACAUCAAACCUCUAAUUAUCUACUUAAUAUAUUCAAAUAUCUUAUUGCAUGGAUCAAUUCGUUGAUGAUAAAGAAUUGUUUUUUUAUCUCCUAGCUUUUAUUAGGAGUCUAUAUAAAAAUUAAGGGAUGGCUCUCGGUUUUGUUUAAGAAAAAUGCUUAAUGGCAAGACAUAAUAUGUCCUAAAAAACGCACGAUGCCAUUAAGCGCACAAUUAUGUGAUGUGAUAGCAAAUUGUUUUUAAAAUUUUCCUUUUGUCCUUAUCUUUUUUGUACAUGAAUAAAACUGCCUGUAAUUUUUUUUAUAUCAAAUUUUUUUUAUCAAAUAAUCUAAUAAGAAUUUCAAUGUGAAUAAACAGGUGUAGUCAGGUUCGAACUUCAAUCUUACAUUUUACAUGCAAUAUUUCUACUAACUGAUACAUGCAAUAUUUCUAUUAACCAAGUUAUUAUUAUACUCACGGAGACAAAAAAAGAUUAUAAAAAUUUUCACCACUGUUUAACGGUGUUUAAUUUCAUUCGAAGAAUAUGUUGGCGUUAUUUUAAUCAUCCAACAGAUAAAUAAGUUGUCUUUCAAAUAUAUUAAAAAGAAGAAGAGAAUAUAGGAAGACUUGCGGACUAUAGACCAAAAUGCAAGUAUGGUCAUAUAAGGAAAAAACCAAGUAAAGAAUAUGUGAACGAUUUUCACAAUCAUUUUACGAUGACUAAUUUUUCUUUGCAGAACCGUGAAAGGUUUUCAGUUGUCAAAAGUAAGGACCAAAAGUUAUUGAAAUAUUUUAUAAGAGGCAAAAAUAUAAUUUGAGAUAUUUAUAAAGACAAAAAAAUAAUUUA